GGACUACUGGGGUAUCUAAUCCUGUUUGCUACCCAUGCUUUCGUCCCUGAGCGUCAGUAUCGAGCCAGAUAACCGCCUUCGCUACUGGUGUUCUUCAUGAUCUCUACGCAUUUCACUGCUACACCAUGAAUUCCAUUAUCCUCUCUCGAACUCAAGACAAGUAGUAUCAAUGGCAAUUUCAUGGUUGAGCCAUGAGAUUUCACCACCGACUUGCUUGCCCGCCUGCGGACCCUUUACACCCAGUAAUUCCGGACAACGCUUGCACCCUACGUAUUACCGCGGCGGCUGGCAC
This 292-nucleotide ribosomal RNA is filed under the name uncultured bacterium. RNAcentral describes it as "partial 16S ribosomal RNA". The record is from RNAcentral.